Molecule: ribosomal RNA, 496 nt
Filed under: uncultured bacterium
Lineage: Bacteria
Description: bacterial SSU rRNA
Rfam family: Bacterial small subunit ribosomal RNA
Source: RNAcentral
GAUGAACGCUAGCGGCAGGCUUAAUACAUGCAAGUCGUGGGGCAGCAGGUUUGUAGCAAUACAGAUGCUGGCGACCGGCAAACGGGUGCGGAACACGUACAGAACCUUCCUUUGAGCGGGGAAUAGCCCAGAGAAAUUUGGAUUAAUACCCCACAGUAUAAUGAAGUGGCAUCACUUUAUUAUUAAAGAUUUAUCACUCGAAGAUGGCUGUGCGGCUGAUUAGGUAGUUGGCGGGGUAAAGGCCCACCAAGCCUGCGAUCAGUAACUGGUGUGAGAGCACGACCAGUCACACGGGCACUGAGACACGGGCCCGACUCCUACGGGAGGCAGCAGUAAGGAAUAUUGGUCAAUGGAGGCAACUCUGAACCAGCCAUGCCGCGUGGAGGAUGAAGGUCCUCUGGAUUGUAAACUUCUUUUAUAUGGGACGAAAAAGGCUUUCUAAGUCGUCUGACGGUACCAUAUGAAUAAGCACCGGCUAACUCCGUGCCAGCAGCCG